Cygnus olor (mute swan) is the source of this 131-nucleotide long non-coding RNA. RefSeq lists it as uncharacterized. The transcript is spliced from 3 exons. The record is from RefSeq and is a predicted model, not a curated record. Lineage: Eukaryota; Metazoa; Chordata; Aves; Anseriformes; Anatidae.
UUUUCCUUCUCUAUUACUUGCCACCUAAUCUUCAGACCUAUGCAGAGACAAUAGCAUCAGUAUCUUUGCCUUAAAGCAAUAGACAUUUCAGAUUUGCAAGUAUUGAGCAGAAGCAUCUCUGGAAGACUGGG